RNAcentral lists this ribosomal RNA (253 nucleotides) under uncultured bacterium. RNAcentral's name for it is "partial 16S ribosomal RNA". It matches the Rfam family "Bacterial small subunit ribosomal RNA", at positions 524 to 776 of the family's 1533-position model. The record is from RNAcentral.
UACGGAGGGUGCAAGCGUUAUCCGGAUUCACUGGGUUUAAAGGGUGUGUAGGCGGGUAUUUAAGUCAGUGGUGAAAUCUCCAGGCUCAACCUGGAAACUGCCAUUGAUACUAUUUAUCUUGAAUUUUGUUGAGGUAGGCGGAAUAUGUCAUGUAGCGGUGAAAUGCUUAGAUAUGACAUAGAACACCAAUUACGAAGGCAGCUUACUAAACAAACAUUGACGCUGAGGCACGAAAGCGUGGGGAUCAAACAGG